This 253-nucleotide ribosomal RNA is filed under the name uncultured bacterium. RNAcentral's name for it is "partial 16S ribosomal RNA". It matches the Rfam family "Bacterial small subunit ribosomal RNA", at positions 524 to 776 of the family's 1533-position model. The record is from RNAcentral.
UACGUAGGGUGCGAGCGUUGUCCGGAAUUACUGGGCGUAAAGAGCUCGUAGGUGGUUUGUCGCGUUGUUCGUGAAAACUCACGGCUUAACUGUGAGCGUGCGGGCGAUACGGGCAGACUAGAGUACUGCAGGGGAGACUGGAAUUCCUGGUGUAGCGGUGGAAUGCGCAGAUAUCAGGAGGAACACCGGUGGCGAAGGCGGGUCUCUGGGCAGUAACUGACGCUCAGGUGCGAAAGCUAGGGGAGCGAACAGG